UGGGGAAUUUUGGACAAUGGGGGAAACCCUGAUCCAGCCAUCCCGCGUGUGCGAUGAAGGCCUUCGGGUUGUAAAGCACUUUUGGCAGGAAAGAAACGUCAUGGGUUAAUACCCCGUGAAACUGACGGUACCUGCAGAAUAAGCACCGGCUAACUACGUGCCAGCAGCCGCGGUAAUACGUAGGGUGCAAGCGUUAAUCGGAAUUACUGGGCGUAAAGCGUGCGCAGGCGGUUCGGAAAGAAAGAUGUGAGAUCCCAGAGCUCAACUUUGGAACUGCAUUUUUAACUACCGGGCUAGAGUGUGUCAGAGGGAGGUGGAAUUCCGCGUGUAGCAGUGAAAUGCGUAGAUAUGCGGAGGAACACCGAUGGCGAAGGCAGCCUCCUGGGAUAACACUGACGCUCAUGCACGAAAGCGUGGGGAGCAAACAGG
RNAcentral lists this ribosomal RNA (429 nucleotides) under Acidobacteriota bacterium. Its description in RNAcentral is "Acidobacteria bacterium partial 16S ribosomal RNA". It matches the Rfam family "Bacterial small subunit ribosomal RNA", at positions 355 to 776 of the family's 1533-position model. The record is from RNAcentral. Lineage: Bacteria; Pseudomonadati; Acidobacteriota.